UGAGGAAUAUUGGGCAAUGCCCGCAAGGGUGACCCAGCAACGCCGCGUGGAGGAUGAAUGUCGUAAGAUUGUAAACUCCUGUUAGAGGGGAAGAAUAGUACCGGUUGGACCGGUAUAUGACUGUACCCUCAGAGAAAGCCCCGGCUAACUACGUGCCAGCAGCCGCGGUAAUACGUAGGGGGCAAGCGUUGUCCGGAUUUACUGGGUGUAAAGGGCGCGCAGGCGGGAUAAAAAGUCAGUGGUGAAAUCCUACAGCUUAACUGUAGAACUGCCUUUGAUACUUUUAUUCUCGAGUUCGGGAGAGAGAGACGGAAUUCCAGGUGUAGUGGUGAAAUACGUAGAUAUCUGGAAGAACACCAGUUGCGAAGGCGGUCUCUUGAUCCGACACUGACGCUGAGGCGCGAAAGCGUGGGGAGCAAACA
Molecule: ribosomal RNA, 422 nt
Filed under: uncultured bacterium
Lineage: Bacteria
Description: bacterial SSU rRNA
Rfam family: Bacterial small subunit ribosomal RNA
Source: RNAcentral